GUUGCUCUUGGGUGGCCGCGGCGCCCGCUCCCUCUGAAUUCGCCGGGCAGGGAUACAGCCGCCCGGGGCCUCUUGCUCGUGCUUGGUUUUCCGGACCUUGCUUCCUAAAGGGUCUUUAGGGGUUCCCGGACUCCUCCGCCUGGGAGCCUCUAUCCGCCUGGGAGCCUCUAUGCGCCCCGCAAAGCCCCCGGCAGAGCCGAGGGGAGGCUUCAUUGGCGACCUGGUGGGGCCUCGCGGCCCUGCUCCCUGACGUCAGCGCCGCCGCGGUGAUUUAACAGCUUUUGUUUUGGGCAGAAGAACCUAUGGGCACAAAAAGCAGGAACGAGUAGCGGUGGCUGAAGAACGAGCAGGAGCUUGAAUUUCAGUUUUCUUAUGAGGAAUUUUCCAGAAAAGAUAUCUUCACUGUGAAAUAACUAAAUAAAUGCCCACUCAGUACAGUCACUGUCUCCCUUUUGGAACUUGAUGGCACCUUAAGCCCAGGUUUGCCUCCACUCUAGAAACUCAUCAGAGUGAUGCCCUUCUCAAAUGGGGGAGGUCCCAAAGCGGAUAUCCUGGCAGUGUGAAAGGCCGGCUAAAGGUUUGUGCCAAGAGGAUCUGUGGAAUGCAUCUCCUACAGCUGGUGCUGCUGAGUAACCACUCUGAUCUGGCAUCUUCUUUGAUCAAGUUACAGAGCAGAGUUUCCAGGGCUGGGGAUUGAAGUCCUGCCUCCUCCCUUUGUCUCUGGUUGUCCUCGGUAAUGUUUUUCCCUCAAGGUACUCAUGAUACUUCCCAUGGGGUGAGUCAGGGACAGGUCUCUUUCCAGGGAAUCCAGGAUGGUAGGGAGGUUGGUUGUCUACCUUGAUCUCACUUUUUCCAUUGUAGAAACUGUGAGUUGGGGAAAGUUUUCCACACACUUGGUGCUGGACAGAUUGUGGCAAGGGGCACCACAGAUAUAAAAAUCUGAUUCUUUUACCAUGCUCAGAGUUUUUUCACUUCUGUGUCCCCAGGAAUUGACUCAUCCUCAUAUCUGAGUUCUGGGAUAUUGUUGGUGAUAAUCUCAGUGCUGUAUAUUUGUUUUUGGUUUUCUGGUGUGGAAGUGAAGCCAGCUUGCGUCUACACUGCCAUUUUUGAACUAGAAGUCCACCUGAUGCCAUGUGGGUCUGCUCUAACAAAGAUGCCUGUAGCUGUCUCUGUAGGUACAAUUGGAGCUACUACCUCAUAAAGUUUGUGGUAGCCCACUAUCUGGUUUUUGGAGGGGCUAGACUGGUAAAUUAAAUGGAGAUACAAUUUGAACCAUCAUCCCCGAAUCUUUUAGGUCUUUUAGGAUGGCAUUAAUUUCUGCCAUUCCCUGAAAUAUUAUUUUUUGAUUUACUGUAUUGGUAUGGAGAAGAGGUCAAUUUUUAAAGCUUCCACCUGGCCACUUGGCCUUUAUCACUAUGUUAGCUCUUACCACACACACCGAGAAACCUGGUGCCACUAAUCAAGUGUAUUUAUCACAAUUAUACACUCAAGGACUAGGUGGGUCUGUGGAUAUAUUGUGAGCCAGACUUGGGCCAGGACACCCUAGGACUUGGCCUCCAUAACCCUUACUCUAAUCAAGGGCAUAUAGUGAGAGUUCUGUGAUAUCAUUGUUAACUCAGACCCUGUUUCCAACAGAUAUCAAAAUGUUGAGUAUUCCCCUUUCACCACUGUAUGAUUUCCUGAGUAAUGGUGAUAGGUCCCUUUGGAGAAGGACUAGAGGAAUCAUUAUUGUGCACACUUGUGGUAUUACACAAUCCUUCCUCCUGGGGACCCAGAUUCUUCUUUAGUUAAUGGGCCUGGAUCCAAAAACGGACUCAGGUCUGGAAAUCGGACAAGGGGUCAUGAUUAUUUUUUAUUUUUAUUUAUUUAUUUAUUUAUUUAUUUUUGAGACAGAGUCUCCCUCUUUAGCCCAGGCUGGAGUGCAGUGGCACAAUCUCUACUCAUGGCAACCUCCAUCUCCUGGGUUCAAGCAAUUCUUUUGCCUCAGCCUCCCGAGUAACUGGAUUACAGGCGCGCACCACCUUGCCCGGCUAAUGUUUGUAUUUUUAGUAGAGACAGGGUUUCACCAUGUUGGCCAGGCUGGUCUUGAACUACUGGCCUCAGGGAAUCCACCCUCCUCGGCCUUCCAAAGUACUAAAUUUAUAGUCAUGAGCCACUGCACCCCGCCAGUUUAACUUUUUUUUAAUUGGCUUAGUUGCCAAGAGAGGAAGUUGGGGAGGAUCCUGAGGAGUGUAUGUUUUGUCCUUGGAGAGAGAGCUCAUUGUCUUCAAGCAAAAGAGGGAGCACACUAGCCCUUAUUAGAGAAGAGAGGGGCACUUCUGUAGCCUUAGAAGGUUCUGGAAACCUGAGGAUUGAAGAUUUUUCAGGUGCAUCAACCCAGAUGGUUUCAUCCCAUGUGUCAGGGUUCCAUUUUUUCCCAAUCAGGGUCCUGACAACAGCACAGUAGACCUGCCUAGCUUGGGUCCUAACUUCUUUGGAGUUUUAUUCUCAUGACUAAGUCCUGGGCCUGGUCCUCAGCUUCCUCUCCUCAUUGGCUUGAGAACCUGAGAGUCUCAUAUUCUACGAGGGAGGCUUUCUGGCCCUCACACUGAGUUUUUGUUUGUUUUUGAGACAAGAUCUUGCUUUGUCACUAAGGCUGAGUGUGUAGUUGCACCCAGGCUGGGAGUGCAGUGGCACAGUAAGCUACUGUAACCUUGAACUCCUGGACCCAAAUUAUCCUCUGGCCUCAGCCUCUUGAGUAACAGAACAACAAAUGCAUGCCACUAUGCCCUGCUGAUUUUAAAUUUUUGUGGAGAUGGGCCUUGCUAUGUUGCCCAGGCUGGUCUUGAAUUCCUGGCCUCAAGCUAUCCUCCCUUUUCAGUCUUCUGAGGCACUGGAAUUACAGGCAUGAGCCACGGCUCUUGGUCCCACACUCAGCUUCUAAUUACCAACUAAUCACUCUCAUUCUUUUAUUUUGAGACAGGGUCUCAUUCUGUAGCUCAAGCUGGAGUACAGUAGUGCAAAUAUAGCUCACUGCAGCCUCAAACUCCUGGGGUCAGGUGAUCUUCUUGCCUCAGCUUCCCAAAUAGCUAGGACUACAGCCACAAGCUACUGGGCAUGGAUAAUUUUUUAAAUAUUUGUAGAGACAGGGUCUCGCUAUGUUGCCCAGGCUGGUCUCAAACUCCUGGCUCAGCCUCCCAAAGUGCUGGGAUUACAAGUGUGAGCCACUAUGCCUGGCCCAUUCUCAUUCUUCUGUUAUCUUUUUCCAAGGUAUCGGUCUAGCUCAGUAAUAACUCUUCAGUUCCACUGUCUACACUGUUUCCCACCUGAUCUUCGUGCCUGCCGGUGCAUUUCUUUGUGUUGACAUGCCAUCUCAGUUCACCACUAGUCAAAGUUUUAAUAACUGCACUGUCAGGGUGUGCUAGCAGUUAACUUCUCCCUGCCCCAGUGAGGAGACUCUCAUCCUAUAAGUGAGAAGGCAAGAGAAAUGGCUCCAAAAGCACACUGGAGCACCUACUUUCCUGCAACCCUUCUGAUACCAAGUAUCACAGAUGCUGAGAUGAAGAUUAGUGGGUAGGAGAUUUGGAUUGCCACCUGUGGAAAGAAAGGAAACUCCACUGGGUGGAGGAAGAAUAUGGACUAUGAUGCAAUCUCAAAGGUGGCCUUAGCUGACACUAAGGGGAACUCUGAAGCUAGGAUGGUCUUUCAGAUUGUUCUAAUAUGGGGCAAUGGGACUAGUCUUUGCAUGCAGCCUGGCCCAAGAAGGAAGUGUGACUUCAGAUGAGGUGGCUCUUUUCACUUAAGAGGGCAAUUCUACUGACAGCUGAGGGCCGUUGGGUGCACACUGCCAGAGCGAGAAAACAAAAUCCUCUGUAGGGAAGGGGACUGUGUGGCAUAUCACAGCACACCCCGAGAACAAGGGAGCGGCUCUUCAUCAAAUAACACAAUAUGGGCCCACAUAUUCCCAGAGGCUGCUAUAGUGCUGGGCACAUUAGUGCUCAAUAACUUAUUGAAUUAGUAUUAUCAUAUUGUGCUAUUGCCAUCCUCAUCUUUUAAAGUCACUUAUCACUUAAUGGAUGUUCUUGUUAGAACUGACACUAUGAAGAUGACUAUGACACAAUUACCUGUUGAGCCUAUUUGAGAAAUUAACCUAUAUUUAACAAGUUUGACUAAUUAGAUUGGUUAAGAGCCUUAGCAGAGGGCUAAACAAAAUGGUGUUAAAGAAUACACCUGAUGGUCCAAGAAAAUCCCUAACUCCCUAGAAGGUCUGGAUAGUCUGAGAAGUGACAUUCGAACAGUGUAAUGCACUUUCCUCCAGAGCCAGAAGCAGGGAAAGCAGAGGCAGCAGCAAUUUUAUCUUCUGGGCACCUUAUCCUCAGACCUCAUUUUAUCAAUACAUACGGACUGUCUACAACCACGUAAUAUCCUUUUCAUCAGCCUUAUGAAAUUUUCCCCCAAUUUAUCCAAGUCAGGAUUUCAGUAUGCAGAAGUCUAAUGUCAUCUUGGAGAGUUCAUUGUGCCUCCCCCAUAUCCAAGACCAUUUACUAAAACCUUAGUUCAGUCUUUAAAGAGUCACAAGAUCCUAUUAUGCCUAGUUUUUUUUCCAGUCUUUUAAGUCUAUUCCUUACCUUGCCAAAAAAGUACCUGUUUCUAUGGUUUAACAAAUGGAGCUUAGAAUAUGGAACUAUGACAAAAAUACCUGCUACAUGCUUCCUUCUGUAUGAAUACAUGAGACCUACCUUCAUUCAUGUUUCCUCUAUGAAGCUUUCCCUGCACUCCAAACACAGAGCUGAGACUUCCACCUAAUGUAGAAAGCUAGCACGAGCCGGCGCUGACAGAUGGAAGACUUGAGAUGUUACAAGAUUAUAUAUGGAAACACAAAAGGAGUGGAGUUGCUGGGUCAUAUGGCAAUUCAUUUGAGGAACUGAGAAGCUUAUUCCAUGGAGGCUGAACUGUUUUAUAUUCCCACCAGCAACGUGUAAGGUUCCAGUUUAUCUACAUCAUCACCAACACUUGCUAUUUUCCAUUUCAUUAAUGAUAGCCAUCCUAGUGGAUUUGAAGUGGUACCUUAUUAUCGUGGUUUUGAUUGCAUUCUCUAUUGACUAAUGAUAUCGAGCAUCUUUUCAUGUAUUUUUUGGUCAUUUGGUCAUUUUUCUUUUUUAAUUUUAAAAUUUUGAGACAGGCUCUCACUAUGUUGCCCAGGUGGUCUCAAACUCCUGGGUUCCAGCGAUGCUCAUGCCUCAGUCUCCCAAAGGGGUGGGAUUACAGGUGUGAGCCACUUUGCCCAGCCCAUUUGUAUAUCUCCUUUGGAGAAUAUCUAGGUUCUUUUGAAGGUAGCUGCAUAUAAACUAGCCAAAUUAACAGACUGUGGUUUUUAGAUGGCUUUCCAUAUCUACAAGAACUAUUUAGUUCUCAAAACUGGGAAGAAAUGUUUCAGAGGCAUCAUUAAUUCAUAAUCUAAAAAUUUAUCUUGGGUUUCCUUUUUUCCCCCAGAUUCUGUAUCCUCCAUAGUCCUAUUCAUGACAUGGGUCGUUCAUCUCUGUAUUCUAAACCCUCAAUGAACUGUAGACAGUAAUAAAUAUUUAUUGGAUGAAUGGUCUCUCAUCAGCCACCUUUUCUUUUUUUUUUUUUGAGACAGAGUCUCACUCUGUCACUCAGGCUGGAGUGCAGUGGCGCGAUCUCGGUUCACUGCAACCUCUGCCUCCCGGGUUCAAGUGAUUCUCCCACCUGAGCCUCCCGAGUAGCUGGGAUUACAGGUGCACGCCACCUUGUCUGGCUAAUUUUUGUAUUUUUAGUAGAGACAGGGUUUCACCGUGUUGGUCAGGCUGGUCUCAAACGCCUGACCUCAGGUGAUCUGCCCGACUUGGCCUCCCAAAGUGCUGGGAUUACAGGUGUGAGCCACCGCACCUGGCCUCCAGCCUCUUUUCUUUUUUUUUUUUGAGACAAGUCUAACUCUGUCACCCAGGCUGGAGAGCAGCGGCAUGAUCAUGGCUCACUGCUGCCUCAACCUCAGAGGCUCAAGUCAUUGUCCCCACCUCAGCCUCCCUAGUAGACUGGACUACAGGCAUGUGCCACCACACCCAGCUAAUUUUUCAUCAGCCACCUUUUCUAACCAUCUGUCUGCACUGACUUCCCAGGUUCUGCAUCAUUAUUGGUUUACUGAGACAAUGCACUUCACCCGUCCUUCAAUCCCAAAGUAGCACAGAAUAUCAGGAGUUCUUUGAGCCCCUAAGUGCCCUACUUUCCCAGGGUCAGGGGACCCUGACAAGCAAGGUCCCCACAUCUUUCUGUGGUUGGAUAGGGAUAUAAAAUUUCUCACACAUGUUAAAUCAAGAUACUUUGGCCAGGCACGGUGGCUCACACCUGUAAUCCCAGCACUUUGGGAGGCUGAGGUGUACAGAUCACUUGAGGUCAGGAGUUUGAGACAAGCCUGGUCAACAUGGUGAAACUCCCAUCUCUACUAAAAAAAAAAAAACUUUGGGAGGCCGAGGUGGGUGGAUCAUGAGGUCAGGAGUUUGAGACCAGCCUGGCCAACAUGGUGAAACCCCGUCUCUACUAAAAAUGCAAAAAUUAGGUGGGUGUGGUGGCACACAGCAGUAGUCCCAGCUACUCAGGAGGCUGAGGCAGGAGAAUUGCUUGAACCUGGGAGGCAGAGGUUACAGUGAGCUGAGAUCAUGCCACCGCACUCCAACCAGGGCAACAGAUCAAGACUCCAUCUUGGGGAAAAAAAAAAAAAUUAGCCAGGCUUGGUGGUGGAUGCCUGUAUUCCCAGCUUCUUGGGAGACUGAAGCAGGAGGAUCGCUUGAACCCAGGAGGCAGAGGUUGCAGUGAGUUGAGAUUGUGCCACUGUACUCCAGCCUGGGCAACAGAAACAAUACUCCGUCUCAAAAAAAAAAAAAAAAAAAAAAAAUCAAGACACCAAACACACACAACUAAUUAGCUCUAUAAAUUGAAUUAAAAGAAAAUCCAUACUGACUUGCUUUCCCAUCUGUCCAUAUUUGUCUAUCCAAAUGAUUAAGGGCUAGAGAAAAUACAGAUGAUGAUGGCUGAGAUGGGAUAAAACUAUAAAUUGACUUGGUUCCAUUUACCUCCCAGAAUCAGCAUACAGUGACAAAGUAGAGAGAAAAGGUCUGGGCACCACAAACUUGUACUUGUGCUAGAAAUGUAGGUGCCUUUUCAUUUGCCCAGCAGGGCUAGUUUAACAGCCAGGGUAUCUUCUGGGACUCUUCCCCAAAUCUUGCUCUACCGCUGACUAGCUAUGUGAUCUUGGGCAAGUUUCUCAACCUUUCUGUGCCUUUCUUCCUUUACUUAUAAAUAAGGAUAACAGAAUUUGCUUCAUAGAGUUAGUCUGAGGAUUCAGUAAGUAGAUACGUGUAAUCUUAGAACAGUGUCUGGCACACAGUAAAACUCUAUCUUUGCUAUUGUUGUUUUUGUUAUAACUGUAUAGAUGUUAGCUAUUAUUACUAUCCACAAGAAUGGGACAUAUCAAUUAUAUAUAUUACUGGCCUAGUAAUUAUAUAUACUUAGAAUCCCUGAUCAAUAAAAUAAAUUGUAAUAGAAAUUUUUAUUCCUCAAACACAUUUUUGUUCCUCAAACACAUUUUUAAAUAAACAUGUCUUGGGAAAGCCAAAGAAAAAAAAAUCAUACCUAUAUCCAAAUAUGUUAUAUUAAAACCUUGUUCCUUGGCAAUUUCACUAAGCAGCUGGAUGUAAUCUGUAUUUGGAAUACUAAGGAGGCUUCUUUUCAGUAAGUUGAUCUUUUCACCAGGAGAAUUCCUCAAGGAAUGCCAAGUACAUCCUAAAGAAUGUCCUACUACAUUUGUCUGAAAAACAGAGAUGAAGAUUUAGACUCUUGACUAGGACUGGGUUCCAACACCCGUACCAGUAUCAUUAAAAGUACUUAUUAAGCACUCACAUUUAAUAUGUUAUAAAGCAUGUUUAAAUGGAUAACAUUUGGUUAAUUUUCCAAUUUAAACAAGACAACAUUAAAAAGUACACAUUUAACAAUACUAUAUGUUUUUAAGAAGCACUUGCAAUAAUAUACUGAAAGCAUUUUGUAUUUUGUAUAGUACAAAUGUUUCUCAGUCAAGUUUUCUGAUGGUCACAUUAAGAGGUACAAGAUAUCUGGAAGCACCAUAAGUAAAUCCACAAAUAAUUAAAUCUGCCUAAUGGAGCAAUUUGCAGAUUAAAAUAUAGAACAAUUUUCAUAUCUUUGGUUUUUUUUGUAUUAAAUACCAAUCACUAUAACUGACAGCUAUCAAACAGGAAAAAAAACAGAAAAAAAAACUAAAAAAAACAUGAAAUGUGCGCGUUGGGUUUGAGGAACAAGUCAUUCAAAUAAAUGACAGGAUGUCAAAAAGUUCUUAUCAGACUUCUAUCCCAGAACCCAACUGAGUAUUUUUUUCCUUUUUCUUUCUGCUUUUCCUCUUUCCUUUAUCCUCCCCUAUAUCCUUCCCUUUUCAUCUCUGUCCUUAGAAUGCCUUAUAUUUCCAUAUUAGUUUAUGGUUCUCAAAUUGCUUUCAUAUGCCAUUAAUAAAAACAACUACUUUCUGAAGUAAGUAGGGUUACUACUCUUAAUAUUGUUUUAUUAAUGAGCACGACAGAGGGGAGGCAAUUUCCAAAAGAUUUUAGAGAUGGCAUGAUAUGGAAUUAAGUAAUUUAUUAGAUUUACCAAAUAAAAAUUUACAUUAUAGAAACUUUAAAAUACUGUUUUUAAAUAAAGAACACUAUUUACAUGGUUAAAAAUAUACAUGCACUAAGAACAAAUAUAUAAUGAAGAGUACAGUCUCUUUUCCUUACCACCCAUUCCCUGAAGACCUCUGUUCUAUUUCUUAGACAUACUGUUAAACAUUUUUCAGUAUCUUCCCAUAAAUGUUCUAUGCAUAUGCAAGCACACACAAUCUUUUAAAGCAAAUGAUAACUUACUCCUCUACAUCUUGUUCAUUUUUCUUUUAUCAGUGCACAUAUAUGCACUGUAUUUACCUUACGGAUCUCCAACUGUGAGCUUUAGGUUGUUUCUAGUUUCUUGCUUUUACUAGCAAUAAACACUCUUUUGCACUUGAAUGAGUUUCUCUGUAGAAUUAUUUCUAGAAGUGGAACUGCUAAGUCAAAGAACAUGUACACUUUUAAUUUUGAUAAAUACUUCCAAACUGAUUUCUGAACCAAUUUAUACUCCUACCAACUGUCUUGGAGGGGGCUUGUUUUCUCAUACCCUCACUAAUACCAGCUAUUAUCAAAUUUUGUAGUUUUUGCCAAUCUAAAAGGUGAAAAUAUUUUAUCUUGCAUGAAUAAAGUUGAAUAUUUUUUCUUUUUUUCCCUUAAUCGUUUGCAUUUCUUCUACUGGGUUGUCUUUUUAACUGAUGCAUAAGAGCUUUUUAAAUUUUCUCUUUUUUAAGAGUUAGGAUCUUGCUGUGUGGCUUAACUCUCAAACUCUUGGGCUCUAGCAGUCCUCCCACCUUAGCCUCCCGAGUAGCUGGGACUACAGGCAUGUGCUGCUGUGUGCAGCAGAUGUGUACAAAAGAGCUUUAAAGGUAGUACUGAAAACAGUUCCUUUAUAGUUCUAUGUUGAAAAUAAUUUCUUCCCACUUUUUUAUUGUCUUAAUUUACAGAUUUUUUGCUGUGCAGUAGGUUUUAUGUUGUCAAAUGUAUUAAUCUUUUAACCUAGGUUUUAAGUUAAAAUGCUUUCCCCAUGCUAAGAUUUUUAAAAAGAAAAACUCUUCCAUGUUUCCUAAUAUUUAUACUGUUUCAAAUUUUUAUGUUCAAAUCUUUGAUCCAUCUGAAAUUCACUUUGGUGUAAGGAAUAAGGAAGCAUUCUAAAUAGAUGUCAUACACAUCAACAAAUAUAUAUAUAUAGCCCCCACCCAAAUGUGGAUGUAAACUGUUUCUACAUCAUUAUUGAAUAAUCCAUCCUCUCACCCACUGAUCUGAAAUCUCACUGUUGCUAUAUACUAUGGUCCUAUGUGGAUUAGCAUCUACGCCUGGAUUCUCUAUUCGCUCCUCUGACUAUUCCUGGCCCAGUAACUUGUCUGACAAGUUCAGUUUUACAGUAUGUUUUGUUCUCUAGUAAAGCAGCACACCCUUGCUCUCCCAACUCUUCCUUUUCAGUUUUCUUGGCUAUUCUUGAGGGUUUUUUUCCAGAUAAACUUCAAUAAACGUGUAUCAAGGUCCAAAAUGAACGCUGGUAGGUUUUUUUUUUUUUCGAGUUGGGGUCUCACUCUGUCGCCUAGGCUGGAGUGCAGUGGCGUGGAUCUCUGCUCACUGCAAGCUCCGCCUCCCGGGUUCAUGCCAUUCUCCUGACUCAGCCUCCGGAGUAGCGGGGACUACAGGCGCACGCCACCAGGCCCGGCUAAUUUUUUUUUUUGUAUUUUUAGUAGAGACGGGGUUUCACCGCGUUAGCCAGAAUGGUUUCUAUCUCCUGACCUCAUGAUCCGCCCACCUCGGCCUCCCAAAGUGCUGGGAUUACAGGCGUGAGCCACUGUGCCUGGCCAAACGCUGAUUAAAAAACUGAGGUCCAGAGAAAUUAAGUAAUUUGCUUAACUUCGCGAAUCAAGGACUGCAUCAAGGACGGAAGCUGAGGUUCCUGCUUUUGGCCUGGUGCUUUCUGUACUGGCCACACUACCUCCCAAAGGCAAAUAGUUUCUUAUUACUUGAAACUAUUAUCUAGCUAAGCUAAAAUCCCAUUUUAAGCCACUUUUGAAAAUAACAAAAACAUGCCAGAGAAGUUAACAGGAAUUCUCGCUAGUACUUUUUAAAGUGACAGCGUUUCUUAUAGUUUAUAUCCUUUAUAACAUAGAAGUUGCUAUAAUUAAGAAAGAUAAUUUUCAUUUUUAUCUCACUGCAAUUAUUUGCCAUGUAGUCUCUUAUUAAUCAUAUAAUUUUCAAGUGUAAUCUUCCUCUAGUCCUAUUUUCUAGAUAGAAUAGCUGUUAAAAUCCAAGAGAUUUACUAUAGCUUUUUCUCCAAAUUGAGGUUUUUUAAGUCAG
RNAcentral lists this long non-coding RNA (10958 nucleotides) under Homo sapiens (human). RNAcentral's name for it is "HSALNT0307532". Lineage: Eukaryota; Metazoa; Chordata; Mammalia; Primates; Hominidae. The record is from RNAcentral.